UUCACUGCUUAUCGAAAACUUUAAACUAUAAUCUAUAUGUCCUUUUAGCUGGGUUAGACAUAUAUAAAACAAUAAAGAAACCACAGCA
Molecule: non-coding RNA, 88 nt
Submitted as: unclassified sequences
Source: Rfam